AACACUGCGCCGGUAUGAACGGAUUAUAUUGAUGUUAUAAAUUAUAAGGUCUCCCUUCUGUGUUU
Molecule: transfer RNA, 65 nt
Filed under: Euprymna sp. Type 4 GS-2021
Lineage: Eukaryota; Metazoa; Mollusca; Cephalopoda; Sepiida; Sepiolidae
Description: tRNA-Ile
Source: RNAcentral